RNAcentral lists this ribosomal RNA (817 nucleotides) under uncultured Thermodesulfobacteriota bacterium. RNAcentral's name for it is "bacterial SSU rRNA". It matches the Rfam family "Bacterial small subunit ribosomal RNA", at positions 75 to 868 of the family's 1533-position model. Lineage: Bacteria; Pseudomonadati; Thermodesulfobacteriota. The record is from RNAcentral.
CCCCGCAAGGGGUUAGUAGAGUGGCAAACGGGUGAGUAACGCGUGGGUGACCUGCCUUCGAGCGGGGGAUAACGUUUCGAAAGGAACGCUAAUACCGCAUAACAUCCUGCCCUUGAACGGGUGGAGAUCAAAGCUAGGGAUUCGCAAGAACCUGGCACUUGAAGAGGGGCCCGCGUCUGAUUAGCUAGUUGGUGAGGUAACGGCUCACCAAGGCAACGAUCAGUAUCCGGCCUGAGAGGGCGGACGGACACACUGGGACUGAGACACGGCCCAGACUCCUACGGGAGGCAGCAGUGGGGAAUUGUUCGCAAUGGGCGCAAGCCUGACGACGCAACGCAGCGUGGAGGAUGAAGAUUUUCGGAUCGUAAACUCCUGUCGAAUGGGACGAAAAGAUUGCGGGUUAACAGCCUGUAGUCCUGACGGUACCGUUAAAGGAAACCCCGGCUAACUCCGUGCCAGCAGCCGCGGUAAUACGGGGGGGGUAAGCGUUGUUCGGAAUUACUGGGCGUAAAGGGCUCGUAGGCGGCCAACUAAGUCGGACGUGAAAUCCCUCAGCUUAACUGGGGAACUGCGUCCGAUACUGGAUGGCUUGGAUUUGGGAGAGGGAUGCGGAAUUCCAGGUGUAGCGGUGAAAUGCGUAGAUAUCUGGAGGAACACCGGUGGCGAAGGCGGCAUCCUGGACCAAUAUUGACGCUGAGGAGCGAAAGCUAGGGGAGCAAACGGGAUUAGAUACCCCGGUAGUCCUAGCCCUAAACGAUGAAUGCUAGGUGUGGCGGGUAUCGAUCCCCGCCGUGCCGAAGCUAACGCAUUAAGCAUU